This 466-nucleotide ribosomal RNA is filed under the name uncultured bacterium. RNAcentral describes it as "partial 16S ribosomal RNA". It matches the Rfam family "Bacterial small subunit ribosomal RNA", at positions 28 to 507 of the family's 1533-position model. The record is from RNAcentral.
GAUGAACGCUGGCGGCGUGCUUAACACAUGCAAGUCGAACGAUGAGGCCCAACUUGCUGGGUGGAUUAGUGGCGAACGGGUGAGUAACACGUGAGUAACCUGCCCUUAACUCUGGGAUAAGCCUGGGAAACUGGGUCUAAUACCGGAUAGGAGCGUCCACCGCAUGGUGGGUGUUGGAAAGAUUUAUCGGUUUUGGAUGGACUCGCGGCCUAUCAGCUUGUUGGUGAGGUAAUGGCUCACCAAGGCGACGACGGGUAGCCGGCCUGAGAGGGUGACCGGCCACACUGGGACUGAGACACGGCCCAGACUCCUACGGGAGGCAGCAGUGGGGAAUAUUGCACAAUGGGCGCAAGCCUGAUGCAGCGACGCCGCGUGAGGGAUGACGGCCUUCGGGUUGUAAACCUCUUUCAGUAGGGAAGAAGCGAAAGUGACGGUACCUGCAGAAGAAGCACCGGCUAACUACGUG